GCAGGGGUGAGGAAGGCAGACAGGCCUCAGCAGUGAGGACAGAGAAUUCGGAGUCCACGUUGUGAGGUAAGAUGAAGUCCUCAUCCACGCUCGCCUUGCUUGCUCACGUUCAGCCAACUCGGCACCCUGCACGGUGUGCAAGCUCCGAAAUGGUCGUGGCAUCCGUUUGCCUUGAAUGAGUGAAAACCUCGGGGGUCACAACAGAGCAUACCUCGUCUUGGAACAGAUGUUUCCAGCCCCAGUGACAGGCAGUGUUUUGGUCCUCUCUGUGCCAACCGCCGAUAUAACGAAGGAUGAGACCAAGGGGGACCCUGUAGAAACCUCUCACAGGCUGGGAGCACCAACUCUGCCCGGAGGUCCCAGGAACGCUUACGUUUUCCAGGGGCUAUUAGUUCUCCAGGUGGACAGCAGUCCGGUGGAGACAACCGUAAAAAGGACACACAAAAGGUCUGAGAGGCAACUGCAAGAAGUCAGAUGGAACCAGAACUCCACUGUGGCUACGCAGGAGUAAAGGCAAGAAAAAGAGAGGGCCUUGCACGCCCUUCUAAGGGGCCUGGUCUUUGUCCUCCCCCCACCCGCCGGUGGAGAAGAGUAAUGGAACGUGGGUGAUGUCUGUGCGGGGUACUCCUCCAGCAUGGAUCUGAAGAAGCCGGAAAGGCAACGCUUAGGAGACUGUCGGGCUGGUCCAAGGAGGAGACGCUGAAGCUGCGUGGCAGUGAGUGUGGAGGAGACACGGGGCUUCAGGACAGAGCUCUGACGAGACACCCACCUGGACGUGGGGUAAAGGGGCCAGAUGGCCCACUUGUACACGUGGUGAAGGACGGUACCAUCAACAAAGGUGGGAAAUGCAAUAGAAGGUUGGAGUAGGGAACGAGGGAAGAGUUGAUUUGUGCCAUCAGGGCAUGCCGGGUUCCGGGUACUGUGGGGACGCCCACGUGGAGAUGGCUGUGGGCGGGGGGGGUACUAUCAGCACUCAGGUACCUGGUGCCCCAAGAGAGUUCCGGAAGUUCAGGUUCAGUAGUUACCCAAUUUGGUAGAGCUCCUGUGUACUUAGGUGAAAGGGGGGUAGUGGUUGAAUCCACUGGAGUAAUGAAAUCACUCGGGGACCAUGGACCGACACCAUGUUCGGGCUAAAAACAGAGAGAAAAGAACCCCACGUGGUAUGGACUGAAGGUUUGUGUCCCCCCCCCCUGCCCCCCCAAACUCAUAUGUUAAAAUCCUAAUCUCCAAUGUGAUGGUACCAAGAGGGGGGGCCUUCGGGAGGUGAUGAGUCACAAGGCUGGAGAGCUGUGCUCUUAUGAAGGAGACCCCACAGAGCUCCCUCCCCACCUCUGCCAUGUGAGGACACCGUGGGAAGACGGCCGUCUCCGCACCAGGAGGAAGGCCUUCACCAGACGCCGAAUCUGCCAGAGCCUUCACUUUGGACUUCCCAGCCUCCAGGACUAUGAGAAAGAAACGUUUGUUAUUUAAGCCGCCCAGGCCACGGCGUUUUUGUCACAGCAGCCGAAACGGACUAAGACACCACUCUUGAGAGCUGGCAAGAAGAGGCAGCAAAGAAGAGUCCGGAAGCUGGCGGAGAGGAGGGUUUUCAUGAAGGACGUUAGCAACGAUGCCACCCGCCAGACAGGUCUCGCGUUCCUGGAGUUGACAGUGCCGAGGCCGCUGAGGACCCACAGCGAGAGGAAGCAAGAGCUUCCUCUUUCUGGGGGUGGAGGUGGGGCGCCUGGUAGGGAAAGGCCAGGGCACCGAGCAGAAGCGCUGGACUGUAGGGAGAUGAGCAGAGGGUGAGAGUGGGGAGACCACCGACAGACUUUAAGGACUAGGAUAGGAAAGAAAGACCCCCAAGGAGAUGCGGGAUUAAGGGAGGACUUUUCUUCUUACCCUGGACCUGCAUGUGAGCUAGAGGCAGGGCGGCAGCGAAGGGCAACAGGGACAAGGGGGUGAUGGCCGCGAAGCACAGGGGAAGCCGUUGGCCGCGUACUGUACAAACUCCGUUCUCCGGGAAGGGUAGCUGAAGGAUUUGCUGUCUCGUUUCCUGCUUGCACUUUCUACAGCUCCUCUCUCCCCUGAGAGGGUGUCCUUUUGUCCCUCUGCCCCCAUCACCUCCAAACCAGAAUGUGCAUCCUUCAAAGCUGUCCCUUUCUCUGAAGUCCCCCGAUGCGUCCGGCUGCCAAGUGAUGUUUCCCCUGGCCUGUCUUCCCUCCCAGCUCAAUAACGUUCGCCCCACGUUGCUCUUGUUCGGAAUCGGGAUGUCCCCACUAUUAGAUACGCAGCUCCUUGAGGGAAAGAAUCAUACCCUGGAUCACUUUUGAGCUCCCCCCAUCCGUUCGCAGAGCCUGAACGGGGUGCCGCACACACUGGGCAUUCGAUAAUGUUCUUU
Long non-coding RNA from Neofelis nebulosa (Clouded leopard), 2380 nucleotides. RefSeq lists it as uncharacterized. NCBI's taxonomy places the organism in Eukaryota, Metazoa, Chordata, Mammalia, Carnivora, Felidae. The record is from RefSeq and is a predicted model, not a curated record. The transcript has 2 exons.